ACUUUAAUGUUUACUAUUUUUACAGUUACAUCUUCUCUCCUUUUUUCUAAUUAUACAUUCUUGCCCUGUCUGCCUUCCCUUCUUUAAACUUAAGCUAGCUAGUGGUUUAUUGUGCUAGAUUUCCAUCACUGUGACAAAAAUACUUGAGAUAAUUAAUAUCUGGAGAAAGAGGAUUGUUUUGUUUGGUGGUUUCAAGAGCUUCAGUCUGUGGUCAACUGGCUUUUAGGUUAUAUACUGAACAACCUAACUUUCUUCUAUUAGAUGUCACCUCCUAAGGAUCUACCACCUCCCAGUAGUGUCACAGGCUGGAAAACAAAUUGACAUGCAUCCAAUAACCUACGAUUCUUCCAUUAGACACCAUCUGUCCCUGAAGGUUCCACCACUCCCAGGAGGAUGGCAGGCUGAAGACCAAACUCCCAGUGUGUGAACUUUGGAAGACAAUUAUGCAAACCACUACACUUACAAUUUCAUCUUUUUCAUUUCAAAAACACAGAUUUUGUUUUUGAAAUGUUUGUAUGUUUCUCACUCAAUAUAUAUACUUUUGAGUGAUUUUCUUCUAUGAGCUCUGCCUUUUUAUUUUUAUUUUCUUAAAUUGAGCUUUUAAUGAUUUAUUUAUUUAUUUAUUUAUUUAGUCCUUGCUGUUGUUAGCUUUGGUUUCUGCUUUGUUUGUUGUUUGUAUUAUGAAUGCAAAAUUAAAUUCCACAAAUUUCC
Molecule: long non-coding RNA, 711 nt
Filed under: Mus musculus (house mouse)
Lineage: Eukaryota; Metazoa; Chordata; Mammalia; Rodentia; Muridae
Description: long non-coding RNA chr13:102359268-102359979
Source: RNAcentral